RNAcentral lists this ribosomal RNA (488 nucleotides) under uncultured bacterium. Its description in RNAcentral is "partial 16S ribosomal RNA". It matches the Rfam family "Bacterial small subunit ribosomal RNA", at positions 28 to 507 of the family's 1533-position model. The record is from RNAcentral.
AGUGAACGCUGGCGGUAGGCCUAACACAUGCAAGUCGAACGGCAGCGCCGUACGUGCUUGCUCUUCCGGGUGGCGAGUGGCGGACGGGUGAGGAAUACAUCGGACUCUACUCUUUCGGGGGGGAUCACGUAGGGAAGCUUACGCUCAUACCGCAUACGCCCUUCGGGUGAAGGCGGGGGAUCUUCGGCCCUUGCGGGGUUGAAUGCGCGGGUUAGUAGUUUGUUGGUUGGGGGGUGGCCGACCAAGGCGAGGACGGGUAGCUGGCCGGAGAGGGUGACAGGCCACACGAGAGGGGAGACGCGGUCCAGGCGCCUGCGGGAGGCAGCAGUGGGGAACAUUGGACAAUGGGGGCAAGCCUGGUCCAGCCAGACCGCGUGGGUGAAGAAGGCCUUCGGGUUGUAAAGCCCGUUUGCUGGGAAAGAAAAGCAGCAGGUUAAUACCCCGCUGUUCUGACGGUACCCAAAGAAUAAGCACCGGCUAACUUCGUG